ACUCUAAAACAUCUUGGCUUAGAAGGCAGAACUAGGAAGUUAUUUAAUAAAAAAAUUUAGAUUUCUGCUAUUUUUCAGCUGUUCUCGGUAAUUUUGUAAUAAAGAAAUUAUACUCUUUUCUCAAAUGAAUAGGUAGCUAAACUAAGAGGAUUCUUGUGAAUAUGAAUAUCACAACUCUAUCAAACGAUGAUGAACUAACAACGGAGAAAAUACAUACAACAGAGAAGAGCUUGUCAAGUAAUACAAAUUUAAUUAUUGGAGUUUCUGUUGGUUGUGGCUUAGGGGUUAUUUUAAUAGUUUUAGCAGUAAUUAUCUUUAUUAAAUUGAAAGUUUGUAGGAAAAGCGAAAGUGAAACUCAACGACCUCCAGGAAUAUUAGACAUUACACCUGCAAAUGCUUCAGCAACUGAAAAUAACAAAACUAUUAAUCGUAAUGAUUUUAAAAAUACUGAGCAUAGUAGUGAAGAAUCUGAAUUCUCUGAUGAGGAUGACUAUGAAAAUAAGUCAGCUAUUGAACAUUUUCACUCUUCCCUUAGUAAUCUACAACCUAAAAACAAUUGUCAAACUAUACCGCCACCAGUUCCGCCAAAAGAUUAUGUUAAAGAAUAGACCUUUCACUGUCUACAAAACUUUUUCUGUGGUGUCAUUUUCUAGUGUCAUUAACCUGAGCGUUUGUGAAGUGAAAUAUUAAGAAAAACAAACAAUAUAACUAAACUAUUAAAAUAGUUUUCUUGAUAAUUUAUAGACGAUUUACAAUAUUCUUUCAUUUUAGAAAUAAGUUUCGGUAAGUAUUAAAACUUAACUACACAGACAAGCCUACGACUGCUAAUGUUACAAUUGUCAAGGAAAAGUGGUACCCUGUUUAUACUAUUUCUGAAUGAAACUUGGGCCUCCAUUAUCAUAUAUCUGCUGUUUAGACUCUUAGUAUAAAAUUUUUGUUAGUAGCUUUUUCAUUAUCUGUAUAAUAGGAUUAUUCUUUAUAAAGUUACACAUGAAAAAACUUCUUUCCAGGAGAUAAGAUACAAAAUCAAUUGUCCUAUCAAUUUUUGCUCGUUAAGUUUCAUCAACAAUCUGCAAAGCAGAGUGGAUAAUUGAAUAUCAAUUCAUUAGUCAUUAACAAUACAAUGAUCAAUAAUUAAUAAAGAUUUUAAAAUAUCAAAUCUUCAAAAAACUUUGCUUUCAUUUAUUUUCUGAAAUUUUCAAAGCAUAUUUGAGAGUACUCCAGUAUCAAUUGCAGUAGAAAUUUUACCAGAACUAAUACAAUUGCUCAUAUGUCAUUUUUGACGAGAGGUAGCUUUAUAGGACUGUUUACUUUAGCCAUGCCCAUAGUUAAGAAAUAUGAACAUUGAGGUUACAUAUUUAUCAUAUCAAAUCUUGAUGACUCAGACUAUUGCAUAUAUAGUAAUAAAGCUUAUAGACAAUCAAGACGGUAUUUUAAGAUUAUAAUUAAUAAUUAUUAUUACUAUCAAGUUAAUAUGCCAGCUCUUGCAGGAGGCAGAUUGUUCUGGUGAGUUUGUUCAAUUAUUCAACUACUACAACAUAACAUUGUUCUUCUAGACACGUCUAAAGAAUGCUAGAAAAUAGAGAAAAUUCUCAAACGAAGGGAAUUGGGAAGGGGAACAUUAUCUUGAUUACAAGAAACAGUUGCUUUUAAGAUUAUUUAGUAUGCAUGCAAUAUUUAUAUAUUCAAAUGUACAUUUUUCUAUUUAAUACAAUAUAUCGUAGUAGUAUUUGAUAAAAUAGCUAUUGCUAAUGAUUUUUCAAUUCAUCCUUAUCUACU
This 1779-nucleotide unclassified non-coding RNA is filed under the name Dimorphilus gyrociliatus. RNAcentral's name for it is "dgyrCDS8853". Lineage: Eukaryota; Metazoa; Annelida; Polychaeta; Dinophilidae. The record is from RNAcentral.